UGCACGUCAAUUGGUUAGAUCGUCUUCAACUCUUGACUCGAUCUUGAGCACCCUUGGUCCAAUUGCGAUCAACUCCAUGAUCCAUCUCCAAUCAACCCUUGACUCGAUCCGCGCAAAUCGUGCUUAUAGAGGCAUGCACCGAUCAACCAUUGACAUGCAAACACAUCACAGAUUACAUCCCAGAUAACUUUAAAAAUAAAUAAAAUUACAUAAUA
This 215-nucleotide long non-coding RNA is filed under the name Phoenix dactylifera (date palm). RNAcentral's name for it is "long non-coding RNA (PDAC_LNC016630)". The record is from RNAcentral. Lineage: Eukaryota; Viridiplantae; Streptophyta; Magnoliopsida; Arecales; Arecaceae.